AACCUACUCCCUCCGUCCAGAAUUACUUGUCGCACAAAUGUAUAAAAAUGGAUGCAUCUAGAACUAAAAUACAUUUAGAUACAUCCAUCCAUUCCUAUGACAAGUAUGUCCCGACGGAGGGAGUACAAA
This is a non-coding RNA of Hordeum vulgare subsp. vulgare (domesticated barley), 129 nucleotides long. NCBI's taxonomy places the organism in Eukaryota, Viridiplantae, Streptophyta, Magnoliopsida, Poales, Poaceae. The record is from Rfam.